RNAcentral lists this small RNA (27 nucleotides) under Bombyx mori (domestic silkworm). RNAcentral describes it as "piRNA piR-bmo-1621698". The record is from RNAcentral. Lineage: Eukaryota; Metazoa; Arthropoda; Insecta; Lepidoptera; Bombycidae.
UGGAAAGGUGGGACCCCACUAGGUUGU